AUUGAACGCUGGCGGCGUGCCUAACACAUGCAAGUCGAGCGGUAACGCGGGAGCAAUCCUGGCGACGAGCGGCGAACGGGUGAGUAAUGUUUCGGAAUCUGCCCAAGGGUGGGGAAUAACCAGCCGAAAGGUUGGCUAAUACCGCAUAAGUCCUACGGGAGAAAGCGGGGGAUCGCAAGACCUCGCGCCGAUGGAUGAGCCGAAACCGGAUUAGCUAGUUGGUAGGGUAAUGGCCUACCAAGGCGACGAUCCGUAGCUGGUCUGAGAGGACGACCAG
This 277-nucleotide ribosomal RNA is filed under the name uncultured bacterium. RNAcentral's name for it is "partial 16S ribosomal RNA". It matches the Rfam family "Bacterial small subunit ribosomal RNA", at positions 30 to 307 of the family's 1533-position model. The record is from RNAcentral.